GCCCAGAUAGCUCAGGGGUAGAGCACAUCCUUGGUAAGGAUGAGGUCGGCGGUUCAAUUCCGCUUCUGGGCUCCA
Molecule: transfer RNA, 75 nt
Filed under: Zetaproteobacteria bacterium
Lineage: Bacteria; Pseudomonadati; Pseudomonadota; Candidatius Mariprofundia
Description: tRNA-Thr
Rfam family: tRNA
About the family: Transfer RNA (tRNA) molecules are approximately 80 nucleotides in length. Their secondary structure includes four short double-helical elements and three loops (D, anti-codon, and T loops).
Source: RNAcentral